CAGCGCGGGGCAACCUGGCGGCGAGCGGCGAACGGGUGAGUAAUGCAUCGGAACGUGUCCAUGUCGUGGGGGAUAGCCCGGCGAAAGCCGGAUUAAUACCGCAUACGCCCGAGAGGGGAAAGUGGGGGACCGCAAGGCCUCACGCGAUUGGUUCGGCCGAUGUCCGAUUAGCUAGUUGGCGGGGUAAAGGCCCACCAAGGCGAAGAUCGGUAGCUGGUCUGAGAGGAUGAUCAGCCACACUGGGACUGAGACACGGCCCAGACUCCUACGGGAGGCAGCAGUGGGGAAUUUUGGACAAUGGGGGCAACCCUGAUCCAGCCAUUCCGCGUGAGUGAAGAAGGCCUUCGGGUUGUAAAGCUCUUUUGUCCGGAACGAAACGGUGGACGUGAAUAUCGUCCACUACUGACGGUACCGGAAGAAUAAGCACCGGCUAACUACGUGCCAGCAGCCGCGGUAAUACGUAGGGUGCGAGCGUUAAUCGGAAUUACUGGGCGUAAAGCGUGCGCAGGCGGUUUUGUAAGCCAGAUGUGAAAUCCCCGGGCUUAACCUGGGAAUGGCAUUUGGGACUGCAAGGCUCGAGUGCGGCAGAGGAGACUGGAAUUCCUGGUGUAGCAGUGAAAUGCGUAGAUAUCAGGAGGAACACCGAUGGCGAAGGCAGGUCUCUGGGCUGACACUGACGCUCAUGCACGAAAGCGUGGGGAGCAAACAGGAUUAGAUACCCUGGUAGUCCACGCCCUAAACGAUGUCGACUGGUUGUUGGGGGUUUGACACUCUCAGUAA
Molecule: ribosomal RNA, 780 nt
Filed under: uncultured beta proteobacterium
Lineage: Bacteria; Pseudomonadati; Pseudomonadota; Betaproteobacteria
Description: bacterial SSU rRNA
Rfam family: Bacterial small subunit ribosomal RNA
Source: RNAcentral